Molecule: long non-coding RNA, 655 nt
Filed under: Mytilus galloprovincialis (Mediterranean mussel)
Lineage: Eukaryota; Metazoa; Mollusca; Bivalvia; Mytilida; Mytilidae
Source: RNAcentral
AAAAUCCCGUUAGCGUAUAACCUAAAUGAUCGAAACGUCGGACCAAUGGGAUGUUGGACCAUUUAGGUGUCGGAAUAUUGCGAUAUCGGAAUAUUAUAGCUUCAUUUUAACUUGUAAUCUCAUCAUUCUUAUCGGUCAACAUAUCCAUACAAAGACAACUUCCUUGGCAUGGGCAUAUAUCAGUACAGCAGAGGUUUUGCUCAAAGCGGACACAAGAUCUACUAUAUACAGAUUGAAUUAAAAAUUGGGAAUGGACAUGAGGGAUUUGUCAAAGAGACACCAACCCGUUCAAAAAGCAGGCAACGGCCGAAGACCACCAAUGGGUCAUCAAUGCAGCAAGAAACUCCCAAACCCGGAGGCGUUCUUCAGCUGGCCCCUAAACAAAAAUGUACUAGUUUGAAAUGAUAAUGGACGUCAUACUAAGCUUCGAAAUAUACUCAAGAAAUUAAAAUAAAAAAUCAUACAAAACUAAGAAAGGCCAGAGGCUCCUGACUUGGGACAGGCGCAAAAUUGCGGCGGGGUUAAACAUGUUUUUGGAAAUCUCAACCCUCCCCCUAUACCUAUACCAAUGCGUGAACAGAUCAAAUCUUGUAGAAAGUUGGAUGACAUCAUACCGGACCGAUGUUGCCUUUUAGCCAACCAAAGUCAUACGGAG